UACGAAGGGGGCUAGCGUUGUUCGGAAUUACUGGGCGUAAAGGGCGCGUAGGCGGUUUGCUAAGUUGGAUGUGAAAACUCUGGGCUUAACCCAGAGUCUGCAUCCAAAACUGGCAAACUUGAGUACUGGAGGGGAAAGCGGAAUUCCUGGUGUAGCGGUGAAAUGCGUAGAUAUCAGGAGGAACACCGGUGGCGAAGGCGGCUUUCUGGACAGUAACUGACGCUGAGGCGCGAAAGCUAGGGGAGCAAACAGG
Molecule: ribosomal RNA, 253 nt
Filed under: uncultured bacterium
Lineage: Bacteria
Description: partial 16S ribosomal RNA
Rfam family: Bacterial small subunit ribosomal RNA
Source: RNAcentral